GCUGGGUGUGGUGGCACACGCCUGUAAUCCCAGGGCUGGGGAGGCUGAGGCAGGAGGAUCUCGAGUUCAAAGCCAGCCUCAGCAAUUUAGCGAGGUGCUGAGCAACUCAGCGAGACGCUGUCUCUC
RNAcentral lists this small RNA (126 nucleotides) under Marmota monax (woodchuck). Lineage: Eukaryota; Metazoa; Chordata; Mammalia; Rodentia; Sciuridae. The record is from RNAcentral.